This 328-nucleotide ribosomal RNA is filed under the name uncultured eukaryote. RNAcentral's name for it is "partial 18S ribosomal RNA". It matches the Rfam family "Eukaryotic small subunit ribosomal RNA", at positions 1470 to 1796 of the family's 1831-position model. The record is from RNAcentral.
CCCUUAGAUGUCCUGGGCCGCACGCGCGUUACACUGAUGCAUUCAACGAGCUUAUAACCUUGGCCGAGAGGCCUGGGCAAUCUUGUUAACGUGCAUCGUGAUAGGGAUAGAUUAUUGAAAUUAUUAAUCUUGAACGAGGAAUUCCUAGUAAACGCAGAUCAUCAAUCUGCAUUGAUUACGUCCCUGCCCUUUGUACACACCGCCCGUCGCUACUACCGAUUGAACGUUUUAGUGAGGUAUUUGGAUCGGACCUGAAGGGGUUCACGCCCUUUCUGUGUCUGAGAAGACUCCCAAACUUGAGCGUUUAGAGGAAGUAAAAGUCGUAACA